RNAcentral lists this long non-coding RNA (2316 nucleotides) under Spirodela polyrhiza (greater duckweed). RNAcentral's name for it is "long non-coding RNA (SPOL_LNC002211)". Lineage: Eukaryota; Viridiplantae; Streptophyta; Magnoliopsida; Alismatales; Araceae. The record is from RNAcentral.
UUGAAGAAUCUGCGAUCCCACUCUGAAGGGAAAGAGGUGACUGAUGCUGACAUCUUGGAUUGGGCAAAUGACAGGGUGAGAAGAACAGGAAGAACCUCUAGAAUGGAAAGUUUCAAGGUAAAGCUCAUCUCCGCCUCAACCAGAUUAUCUGGAAAAAUAUCCAUUUACAGACCACAUUUUUAUUUCAUAUUAUGCUGUUAAAUUUUCACUCUUCAGGAUAAGUCCCUGUCAAAUGGAUUGUUCUUCCUUGAGCUCCUGAGUUCUGUGGAACCGAGGGUUGUCAACUGGAACAUUGUGACAAAGGGCGUCAGUGGUACGAGUGUUUGGAAGUUAUUAAAUUUUCCUCUUAUUCGAUCUUGAUAGUUUCUUGCAGAUUUUUUGAAGUAUUAUAGUAACAUAUGAGACAAUUAAUCUCUCGUUCCAUCUCUUGCUUAUUUUUUUUACAAAAAGAAAUCGGUAAAUGUUCCUUCUGUUUGAUAUUUUAAAUUUUUAUUUGCAGCUUUUAAAAAAAAUUUAUAAGAUUGUGUGACACAAUGAGUCUUCUGCUCCACCUCUUGCUCACAUUUUUUAAAAUUAAAUUGGUAUAUUUUCCUGUUUUUUAACCUCUUAAUUUUUUUUGCAGUUUUAAAGAAGAUAUUUCAGUAUUGCACAAGAAAAUUAAUCUCGCUCCUGUUCCUCCUCUAGCAUAUGAAUUUAUAAGUUAUCCUGUUGUUGGAUAUUUAAACAAUUUAUUUGCAGUUAUCUUUUUAAAAAAUUACGUCAGAUGUGGAACAGGAGAUUGGCUGAUAAAAUAUCGCAAUAUACACUUUUUUUAUUAAUUUAUUUAGCCUGUGUCCACAUUUCUCCUUCAAUAUUAUCCAUCUUGAGUUAUGAAAAUUAUGCUUCAGAGGAUGAGAAGAGGUUGAAUGCGACAUAUAUAAUCAGCGUGGCCAGAAAGCUCGGGUGCUCCAUUUUCUUGCUCCCUGAGGAUAUCAUGGAGGUAAUAAAAGCAUCGGUUUCUUCUCUUCUUUCCAACCCACGCAUCCAAAAUUUCUUGUUUUUCUUGUUUAUUUUUUAUUUUCAGGUGUAUUCUCCUGAAAAAAAAUCCUCAGGCUUACUUUAAAACCCUGAAUCAGCAUAUAAAUAGCAUGAACAAAAAUCGUACCUCCAUGCUUCCUAUUAAUGGCCGUCCCUUCUUCCCAAAAAUGUGCGAUUUUCUUGAUUAUUUGCUAUGAAUUAUUAAUAUAGAAGAUCUUUGGGCUUAGUUUGUGACCCCAAAUCAAAAUAUUAUUAUCACAGAGAGAAACGAACCUUCAUGACUUCUAUUUAUGGAUGCCUCUUCUUUCCAACCCCGGGCAUCCAGAAUUUGCGUUUAUUGUGAAUUAUUUGGAAGAAUUAAGUAUUCAGGCUUAUCCUAUCACCCGCAUUAAUUUCAGAAAAAAAAAACCUUCAUCCAAUAUUUGUGGUAUUUUUAUUGAUUAUUUAGACGUAAAAAAAAUAAAAAUCCAGGCGUAGCUUCCUGCCAUCAGUACAUCAACAGCAGAGAAAAUAAAAAAUCUAACCUUCACGGUUCCUAUUUUUGGGCUGUUCUUAUUGCAGUCUGCGAAUCUCAUGGAAUCUCUAGUUUUAUUCAUUUAUUUACUUAUUUAUUUCCUCAAUGUGGGCAGGUGAACCAGAAAAUGAUACUCACCCUUACAGCCAGCAUCAUGUACUGGAGCCUUCAGCAGCCAUCAGAGGAACCAGAACCGCCUGCUCCUCAGAAGGCCAACCCUCAGAGAGUCGCCUCAGAUGGAGGGGAAGACGAAGGCUCUCUCACAGAUGGCGCCUCAAACCCUAAUGUAGACGAUGACAUCAGUUUAGAAAAUGGGAAUCCACCAGAGGAAGAGCCAUGAGGACCCACCCUUGAGAUAUUUUUUUCUCAUAAAAAAAUAAUAAAAAAUAUAGGUCAUCUGGUUGUGAUUCUUAUAAAAAGCUGUAUCUUGGGUCAAUGGGUAGGAAAAUAUUUCCUUUUUAAUUUUUUCCUCUGGGCUGGCUUAUUGGGUUCAGGUUAUUUUUUUCUAUUGGUUGUAUCUGAUGGUCUAUUCUUUUGGCCUAUCUGUUCAAAGGGGAGAGAUGGAGGAGACGAUUACAGGGUUCAUGUGUAGGGUUUUGAUCAUAGCGGGUUCCUUAGGGGCCCAUGUCUCCAAGUCCAAAUAAUGAUGCAAAUGUUCAGGUUGUCAAUAAAUAAAUAAAGUAUAUGAUUUUGUGGGUAUUUCUGUUCUGGUUUUCUUGUUUACCUGUCUUUUAAAUUUUUUAUAAUUCCGUUUGAUUUUUGAGCCUUAUUUGAUCUUAAAGUAG